This 445-nucleotide ribosomal RNA is filed under the name Lachnoanaerobaculum saburreum. RNAcentral's name for it is "bacterial SSU rRNA". It matches the Rfam family "Bacterial small subunit ribosomal RNA", at positions 28 to 456 of the family's 1533-position model. Lineage: Bacteria; Bacillati; Bacillota; Clostridia; Lachnospirales; Lachnospiraceae. The record is from RNAcentral.
GAUGAACGCGGCGGCGUGCUUAACACAUGCAAGUCGAACGAAGCUGUUAAAAGGAAGUCUUCGGAUGGAAUUUUAACAGACUUAGUGGCGGACGGGUGAGUAACGCGUGGAUAACCUGCCUUAUACAGGGGGAUAACGGAGAGAAAUUUCCGCUAAGACCGCAUAAGACCACAGCACCGCAUGGUGCAGGGGUAAAAUAUUAAUAGGUAUAAGAUGGAUCCGCGUCCGAUUAGCUUGUUGGUGAGGUAGAGGCUCACCAAGGCGACGAUCGGUAGCCGGCCUGAGAGGGUGAACGGCCACAUUGGGACUGAGACACGGCCCAAACUCCUACGGGAGGCAGCAGUGGGGAAUAUUGGACAAUGGGGGAAACCCUGAUCCAGCGACGCCGCGUGAGUGAAGAAGUAUUUCGGUAUGUAAAGCUCUAUCAGCAGGGAAGAAAAUGACG